AACGUUUACGGGGUGGACUACCAGGGUAUCUAAGCCUGUUUGCUCCCCACCCUUUCGCUCCUCAGCGUCAGUAACGGCCCAGAGAUCUGCCUUCGCCAUCGGUGUUCCUCCUGAUAUCUGCGCAUUCCACCGCUACACCAGGAAUUCCAAUCUCCCCUACCGCACUCUAGUCUGCCCGUACCCACUGCAAGCCCGAGGUUGAGCCUCGGGAUUUCACAGCAGACGCGACAGACCGCCUACGAGCUCUUUACGCCCAAUAAUUCCGGAUAACGCUUGCGCCCUACGUAUUACCGCGGCUGCUGGCACGUAGUUAGCCGGCGCUUUUUCUGCAGGUACCGUCACCCGAAGGCUUCUUCCCUACCAAAAGAGGUUUACAACCCGAAGGCCGUCAUCCCUCACGCGGCGUUGCUGCAUCAGGCUUUCGCCCAUUGUGCAAUAUUCCCCACUGCUGCCUCCCGUAGGAGUCUGGGCCGUGUCUCAGUCCCAGUGUGGCCGGUCACCCUCUCAGGCCGGCUACCCGUCGACGCCUUGGUGAGCCAUUACCUCACCAACAAGCUGAUAGGCCGCGAGCCCAUCCCAGACCGAAAAAUCUUUCCAAACACGACCAUGCGAUCGCAUCUCAUAUCCAGUAUUAGACGCCGUUUCCAGCGCUUAUCCCAGAGUCCAGGGCAGGUUGCUCACGUGUUACUCACCCGUUCGCCACUGAUCCACAGAGCAAGCUCUGCUUCACCGUUCGACUUGCAUGUGUUAAGCACGCCGCCAGCGUUCAUCCUGAGCCAU
RNAcentral lists this ribosomal RNA (780 nucleotides) under uncultured Microbacterium sp. Its description in RNAcentral is "partial 16S ribosomal RNA". Lineage: Bacteria; Bacillati; Actinomycetota; Actinomycetes; Micrococcales; Microbacteriaceae. The record is from RNAcentral.